This 510-nucleotide ribosomal RNA is filed under the name uncultured bacterium. RNAcentral's name for it is "partial 16S ribosomal RNA". It matches the Rfam family "Bacterial small subunit ribosomal RNA", at positions 28 to 507 of the family's 1533-position model. The record is from RNAcentral.
GACGAACGCUGGCGGCGUGCUUAACACAUGCAAGUCGAACGAAGAGCGAUGGGAGCUUGCUUCUAUCAAUCUUAGUGGCGAACGGGUGAGUAACGCGUAAUCAACCUGCCCUUCAGGGGGGGACAACAGUUGGAAACGACUGCUAAUACCGCAUACGAUCUAAUCUCGGCAUCGAGGAUAGAUGAAAGGUGGCCUCUACAUGUAAGCUAUCACUGAAGGAGGGGAUUGCGUCUGAUUAGCUAGUUGGAGGGGUAACGGCCCACCAAGGCGAUGAUCAGUAGCCGGUCUGAGAGGAUGAACGGCCACAUUGGGACUGAGACACGGCCCAGACUCCUACGGGAGGCAGCAGUGGGGAAUCUUCCGCAAUGGACGAAAGUCUGACGGAGCAACGCCGCGUGAGUGAUGACGGCCUUCGGGUUGUAAAGCUCUGUUAAUCGGGACGAAAGGCCUUCUUGCGAACAGUUAGAAGGAUUGACGGUACCGGAAUAGAAAGCCACGGCUAACUACGUG